GAUGAACGCUGGCGGCGUGCCUAAUACAUGCAAGUCGAGCGAACAGACGAGGAGCUUGCUCCUCUGACGUUAGCGGCGGACGGGUGAGUAACACGUGGAUAACCUACCUAUAAGACUGGGAUAACUUCGGGAAACCGGAGCUAAUACCGGAUAAUAUAUUGAACCGCAUGGUUCAAUAGUGAAAGACGGUUUUGCUGUCACUUAUAGAUGGAUCCGCGCCGCAUUAGCUAGUUGGUAAGGUAACGGCUUACCAAGGCAACGAUGCGUAGCCGACCUGAGAGGGUGAUCGGCCACACGGGAACUGAGACACGGUACAGACUCCUACGGGAGGCAGCAGUAGGGAAUCUUCCGCAAUGGGCGGAAGCCUGACGGAGCAACGCCGCGUGAGUGAUGAAGGUCUUCGGAUCGUAAAACUCUGUUAUUAGGGAAGAACAAAUGUGUAAGUAACUAUGCACGUCUUGACGGUACCUAAUCAGAAAGCCACGGCUAACUACGUG
This 497-nucleotide ribosomal RNA is filed under the name uncultured bacterium. Its description in RNAcentral is "partial 16S ribosomal RNA". It matches the Rfam family "Bacterial small subunit ribosomal RNA", at positions 28 to 507 of the family's 1533-position model. The record is from RNAcentral.